RNAcentral lists this ribosomal RNA (174 nucleotides) under Triticum aestivum (bread wheat). RNAcentral describes it as "partial small subunit ribosomal RNA". Lineage: Eukaryota; Viridiplantae; Streptophyta; Magnoliopsida; Poales; Poaceae. The record is from RNAcentral.
AUGCUUGUUGAGACAAACAAGCAUGAACAAUAUCAUAUUGUUUAUAAGCUUCUUAAGUUGGUAUUGAUUCUGCCAGUAGCUACUGCUAGUGUUGAAAGGGUGUUCUCUUCAAUGAGCCAUGUGAAGAAUAAGCCAAGGAACAAAAUGGGUGAUGAAUAUUUAAAAAUUGUUUAG